GAUGAAGAACGUAGCGAAAUGCGAUAAUUAAUGUGAAUUGCAGAAUUUAGUGAAUCAUCGAAUCUUUGAACGCACAUUGCGCCCCUUGGUAUUCCGGGGGGCAUGCCUGUUCGAGCGUCAUUUCAACCCUCAAGCUCUGCUUGGUCUUGGGCCGCGCCGGCAACGGCGGGCCUCAAAAACAGUGGCGGCGCCAUCUGGUCCCUCAGCGUAGUAAUUCUUCUCGCUGCUGGGCCCCGGUGGCUGCUUGCCAGCAACCCCAAACUUUCUAUGGUUGACCUCGGAUCAGGUAGGGAUACCCGCUGAACUUAAGCAUAUCAAUAAGCGGAGGA
RNAcentral lists this unclassified non-coding RNA (329 nucleotides) under soil metagenome. RNAcentral's name for it is "partial contains 5.8S ribosomal RNA, internal transcribed spacer 2, and large subunit ribosomal RNA". The stretch from base 1 to 120 matches the Rfam family "5.8S ribosomal RNA", at positions 35 to 154 of the family's 154-position model. The record is from RNAcentral.